This is a long non-coding RNA of Lactuca sativa (garden lettuce), 3132 nucleotides long. RefSeq lists it as uncharacterized. The record is from RefSeq and is a predicted model, not a curated record. NCBI's taxonomy places the organism in Eukaryota, Viridiplantae, Streptophyta, Magnoliopsida, Asterales, Asteraceae.
UUUUUGUGGACCUGAAUUUGCCUCAUUGAAAGUGGGUAGUCAAUGGUUGGGUCGAUGUGUACGCCACGUGUGAUCCACAUUUACUUUUUCUUAGUCUCUUCCUUACACGUGUCUGCCUCAUAGUCUGAAUCGUGUCCGCCACCGCCCCAAAUAUAUCGAUUGGUGUCACCGCCUUCUCUUUCAAGGUACCCCCUCAUAUGCUCUCUAUCUCUGUUAUUCUCCCGUCGUUCCCCUAAAAUGUGACCGACUCGAUCACCAUUAUCAUCCCUUAAUCGGUUGUAUCUCCUGAAUCAGCAAACCCAUUACCUUUUAUCUAAAAUCUCCACAUCCAAGAAGAAUCAGUUCUCUGCCCCUCCUCCUUCUCUCUUCUGUUAUCGUUCACUUCACCAUCGUAUUGCAUUACGAUUUGGUUAGUCAACUCCUGAACUAAUUUUCUUGGUUUUAAUAUGAUUGAUUUACUCACUAUUGAUCGCAAUAUCAUCAACGUUUCGUCUUACGUUACAAAUUCUUAAACUUCUUCAAAAUUUUAGGGUAUCCGCUAAUUCUCACUUUGUAUCUAUUUGGAUUUGCUUCGUUCGCGACCCAUUGUUACCAGAAAUUGAGAGGGAAGGGGAAAGACGAACUGAGAGAUUGAGGGUGAGUCGAACAACAACUGGAAGUAGGAGGUGCGUGGUUUUCUGGAUUAGCGCCUUCUAACACCACCGAAUCACCAAACUUGGUCCGCCCUCUAACAAUCGAUUCACCAAACCAUUUUAGUUCUGACAACCAAACCUUCACUUCACUUUGUAAAUCAUGUAUGUCUUUUUGCCUUCUGAAUUCUCCGUGACUUCCUGUAAGUUGAAAAAAUGAUGAUCUUUAUAGGUAUGAACCUUUUCUCCAUAUUAGUUAUUUUUAUACUUUUGAACACCUUAAAUUUGUUUUUUUUCUUCUUAGGUUAGUUAGAAGUAAUGAAUUAUGUUUACAAUUUUAUUAUGGAUACAAUGCACAUCGGGUGCUCGACAAAAUGUCUCAAAGAAUGUUCAAAUGUUCUUUUGUCAUGGAUUUCUAUAGAAGUCACGUAUAUUUAACACCUCUUUUAAAUAUUUUUUUCAUUGAUUAUUUCUUAUAUAUCCAACCAUUAAGAAUCAACAAAUUUCAGAUGUUCUUCACAACAUUGUUUUUUCUCUCCAACUACACCAAUGAAGUGUGGAAAUCAGGAAUCCAAAGCUUUUUCCGAAGAAGCUGGACCACCGGAGUUGGCUUUGGUGGGAGAAGUCGUCGGAAACUAUAAGCCUUUAAACCUUGGAUUUGGACCAUGGAGUAUUAGGGAAUAUAUUUGUGGUGUCCAGCGCAUGAUUCAGAGGUCUCUAAAAAGUAUUGUGCAAAGAUCACGUGAUACAAAUCCAAUUUGCAUUCAUCAUAAAUGGUUACAAUUUUCUACAGUUUUCUUGCAAAAAGAUGAGGUGAUAAAAUUUUUAUUUGUAUAUUCAUAUACUAUAAGUGGUUACAGUUUUCUAUAGGUCUAAUGCAAUUUUUACAAUAAAGUGUAGUUUUUCGUUUUUCAAUCAUGAAUACAAAGAAAUUAAGCCCAAAUUGAUCAAUCUUAAUCUUUAUUUGUCCCUCUUCAGAAUGUGUUUUCCAGUGUCUUUUUGUAUUGUUAAUGAUAAAGUUAAUUUGUGUUGAUUACGUAUUUAAUAACACAGGAAGUGAAGGCCAGACAUAGAAGAGUUACAUACGAUGAUCUCUAUAAGGUGAUUGUUUAUAUACCAAUUACAACUCUUUCUUACAUGUUGGACCUUUUCGGCUCUUAAUACUAAUAACUUUGUUUUGGUGGUUAAAUUUUACACGUUUUGUAUUUUGAUAGAAUUGUAACAAAUGAAAAUUCAAUAACCUGCGCUUAUUGUUAUCCUUGCACAUUUUUUUCGAUAUGAUUUCUAGCAAAGGUCAUUGCUUCACUAUAAAUUCCCAAAAUUAUGUUGAAAUGUUCACCUUGUUAGAGUUGUUGCAAUCGAAUUAACAGGAGGACCCACUCUUGAGUUCGAAACUGGAAGGAAGGUAUCAUUACAAUAUAAUCACUUUUUUUUUAAUAUUAUGUCUUUCAUGUAGUCAACAAUUUUACAUAUAAUUUUAUUUAUUAAUACCUAUAUAUAACUUUAACAAAUUACAUGUUCAACAAUCUAUUUGUUAUCUUCAGGAUCAACUUUUUAUCUAAAUCCAAAUAUUAUGAAACUAAAAUUUAACCAUUUUUAUGUAUGUAAAAAUCGAUCAUUACCAUCACUAUCAAUCAAAAAUUAUUUAGUUUAGAUAAAUUAGAUGCUGAUUGUUCAGAUAGAAUAGAAAGUUAGACAUCCUUUUUUAAAUAUAUUGUAGAAAAUUGGAUAUUGCUUUAUAUGAUAUAUUAUAGUUUAUAUAAGAAAUUCAUGAAAUUAUAUCAUUGAUCCAAACGGGCAAUCAGUUUCCAUUGCAGGUUCCUAUUGCUUCAUUAGGCACUGAUUCGAUUUUUGAUUUUUCAGUUUCUCAUAGCUGUGUGUUUAUUAUUGUGUUCAGGUUCUGUUGGAUUAAUCGGACCUUUACAGGUAGGGGUACAACUUGGAAAAAUGAACAUUGCGGCUUGGACAAGUAAAGAAGACACGGAAAAGAAGGCGAUGGAGUGCACCACGGACAUUUUGGCUGAGGAGGCGUUCAGAGUUGAGUUUGAGAAACGGGUGGUUGCGUGAGAAUAUGCCGAGAAUCUUAACUUAAUGCAAAAGAUAAAAAUUCAAGCAUGGGAAAGUCACCAGAAAGCAAAACUUGAAACAGAAAUGAGAAGAACAUAGGUGAAUUUGGAGGUUGCAAUGUCGUGGUAGAAAGCGGAAGGGAAAAAAAUGAAACACAUGCUCCUUCAAGAACCCAACUGUUGGAAAAUAUUUUUGUUGAUCCAACAGGCGUUGGAAUUGCACCUGAUGACAAUUACAUUUACAUGUGUGAGGACCUUUACCCAAAGAAAAUGUUGUAAUUCAUUUCAAAUUGCUACUAUUUAAACAAGGUUAACUGCUUACUAAACCAAAAAAAACCUCCGUCCCAUGCGGAGCGUGGGCAUACCUACUAGUUAUAAUAUAAAGUUUUGUGUGAACAUAAAGAUAAUUGGAGGCUUUUACAAAAACAUUUGAUGUA